This 490-nucleotide ribosomal RNA is filed under the name uncultured bacterium. Its description in RNAcentral is "partial 16S ribosomal RNA". It matches the Rfam family "Bacterial small subunit ribosomal RNA", at positions 30 to 507 of the family's 1533-position model. The record is from RNAcentral.
AUUGAACGCUGGCGGCAGGCUUAACACAUGCAAGUCGAACGGUAACAGGAAACUGCUUGCUGUUUCGCUGACGAGUGGCGGACGGGUGACACAUGUCUGGGCAACUGCCUGCUGGAGGGGAAUAACUACUGGCAACGGUUGCUACUACCGCAUAGCGUCGCAAGCACAGUGAGGGGGGGCAACGGGCCUCUUGUCAUGGGCUGUGCCCAGAUGGGAUGAUCUAGUAGGGGGGGUUACGGCACACCUAGGCGACGAUCUCGAUAUGGUGGGAGGGGAGGACAACCCACAUGGGAACUGAAACACGGUCCAGACUCCUACGGUAGGCAGCAGUGGGGAAUAUUGCACAAUGGGCGCAAGCCUGAUGCAGCCAUGCCGCGUGUAUGAAGAAGGCCUUCGGGUUGUAAAGUACUUUCAGCGGGGAUGAAGGGAGUAAAGUUAAUACCAUGGCUCAUUGACGGUACCCGCAGAAGAAGCACCGGCUAACUCCGUG